Long non-coding RNA from Cyprinus carpio carpio, 2572 nucleotides. The record is from Ensembl. NCBI's taxonomy places the organism in Eukaryota, Metazoa, Chordata, Actinopteri, Cypriniformes, Cyprinidae.
GGAAAUAGUCACAUAUUUGUUUUUAUCUUGAUCAGGGCUUGCAAAGAAAAGCUUCCAUAUAGCUUGCAUACUUGAUAUAUAAUUUGUUUAGAAUGUGAAAAAGAAAAUUUUACAUAUUUUGAACAACAGAAGGCUGGUGCACCAGUCACACAUUUUUAGUUCAAUAAAACGGUUUCCUCAAACUAAGUGGUUCACUUGGUGACUUUUUAAGAUAUGCAAUCUGAACAACAACAACACACAAAAAUGUGAUUACAUCAAAGAAUCUAAGUGGUCAUAAAAAGCUGUUUUACAUGCAAAAAUGAUGAACAGCAAAUGUGUGGCCAUUUUUGUCUAGCCUCUGAAGGUUGAACAUCAGUUCAAGGUUCCCUUUAUUGUUAAUAUAAGAAGGACUGAACUUUGAUCAGAAUGACAAAGAAACAUACAGCCACCAGAGAUGGAGGCAUGACUCUGUUGCCUGCUCUGGUCCUCAUGGCUGCUUGUGUGGGCCUGGAGAGAGGACUCACUGCUUCUGCCCUUAUUUGGUGAGUGAACGAAGUGGAGCCUUGUGAAGUCUCACAGGCACAUUCUUCUAUUACCAAUCUGGAUCUCGCUGUAUUACACGUUUAGUUAAGAAGAACCCUGUACAAUUCUUUUUAUUUUAACAUAUUCUCCUCUUGUGUGGCCUAUUUUUACUCUUCCACUCUGUUGAGAUAUUCAUUAUAAACUCACAACAGCAAACAUUGGUUCCAAAUGCAAACUCUUCUCUGUUUUCUUCCAUUGCUUUUCUCUGACUCAAAUUGUUGGGCUUCCUUCCUUUCUCAUCUUAUCCGGACCAUUUGUAAAUUUUAUGGUUCAAUCCACUUUAAAUAUGUGAAAAUAAAUGACUGAACUCUAUUAUAAUACAUGUGUAUUUUUCUUUAACAACAAUGUAACCCAAAAGUCAUUGCCAGAAACAGAUUUCAACAGGCCUUAAUGAUUUAUUCCAUAAAAGGUUUUGGGGGAUAUGGCCAAACACAAUAAAAGUCACUGACAGUAAAGCAGAUCCUUAUCUUUUUUUUUUCUGGCUACAGCUACUGAACUAAUAGCUUGACCCAUGUGUUCAUAGUUUACACAAAAUUAAUACUCAGCAUUAAACUGACCAAAAGUGAUGGUAAAGACAUCCUAUUUCAAAUGAACACUGUUCAUUUGAACUUUCUAUUCAUCAAAGAAUCCUGAAAAAACACAAAAAUAUUAAGCGGGUCAGCUGCAGGGUCAUCAGCCAGGAACCACCAUUCACCAACGUUUCACUCCUUUAAUCCUGGAACGUCUCCUGGUGGCGGAGCAGUGACAGGGACGUCUCCCUGUCACCCCCUGCAACUGAUAGAUGUUACCCUCUGCAGCUGUUGUGGGGGUUAGUUGUUCUUUCCCCAGCUCUUGUCUUUAUCCUCAGCCAGAGCCAAAGGCUCCCCUUCUCGGCCUCCUCCGCUAGCUCUUUGAUUACCUUCUUUAGGAUCCCUCCGGUCACUCCUGCCUCCCUCAGAAGGCAUAUGGUUGACAGCCCCACGUAACCUCGGCAUCCAACCUCCACUGGAUAGAUAGUGGUCUUUCAGCCAGCCUCCCGGCACUCAGCAGUCAGCUCUGAGUGCUUGACCUUCUUACAUUCGUAGGCGGCUUUGACCCCCAACCCCCCACUGGUAUUGUGAGCUCAAUGAACAACACGGAUUUUGCCUUGGAGGACCACACCACUAUAUCAGGGCGGAGAGAUGUAGCAGUGAUCUCGACAGCUGCCUGUCAAGGUCGACUCUCAUAUUCCACUCCUGGUCAGGGGAAAAUGGCCUAGGUCAGUGUUUCUCUUGGUCUGAUGUUUCUCCUCCCCCCCGUCUUCAUUGACAAAGCUGAUGUGGUUGUGGUUCUCUACUGGUGGUACUCCUUUGCUGCCCAGUCGACGCCCCUCUAGCACCUCGGCUAGCUUUCUCAGGACCUGGUCGUGGCGCCAUCUGUAGCAUCCCUGGGAGAGCGUGAUCUUACAGCCUGACAAGAUGUGCUGUAGGCUUUCGUUAGGGGUAUUGCAGAGAGUGCAGCCGAACCACUGGUGAAGGUUCCGAGGACAGGGUAACAUGUCAUGGGUUGAGCGGAUGAGGAAGCUGAGCCUUGCCUAUGGGAUCUUCCACAGGUCUGACCAGGUGAUGUUUCGUUUGACAACUCCCUCCCAGGUUGUCCAGCUUCCCUGUUGGCCCUGCGACAUGGCCUUGUUCCUGUAGCGCUCCUCCUCCAUUCUUGUCACCUCUGCCACCACCAUCUCCUUCCUCUCUUUGUGGUUGGCCUUGGACCAGAACAGUGGCACUUCUCGCCACCCUAGCCCUGCUCUUCCUUUAUGGACUCUGCCGACAAUCUCUUGAUGUUGCAAACGACUGACAGCUUGGUCAACCUCAGUUUGGGCAUUCCACUUCCGGCCUGUCAGAACCUUGGGGUUUGCGUUCCUUACAGCCUGGUCAGCGGACUCUCUCAACUCAAGAACAAGCCUGGUCUUUUCCUGCUUGUAGCCCAAACUACAACAAUAUUAAUACUAAUGCAUAUAGUUGUGGUUUUAUCAUUUAACUUCAGUGAAAUGCUU